Molecule: non-coding RNA, 45 nt
Filed under: Trichobilharzia regenti
Lineage: Eukaryota; Metazoa; Platyhelminthes; Trematoda; Strigeidida; Schistosomatidae
Source: RNAcentral
AUCCAUCUAACGCGUCUCAAACAGGACGAAAUGCGCGUCUUGAAU